RNAcentral lists this ribosomal RNA (435 nucleotides) under uncultured bacterium. Its description in RNAcentral is "bacterial SSU rRNA". It matches the Rfam family "Bacterial small subunit ribosomal RNA", at positions 27 to 507 of the family's 1533-position model. The record is from RNAcentral.
CGAGCGAACGCUGGCGGCAGGCCUAAUACAUGCAAGUCGAGCGGUCCCUUCGGGGGCAGCGGCGGACGGGUGAGUAACGCGUGGGAACGUGCCCUUUGGUACGGAACAACUGAGGGAAGCUUCAGCUAAUACCGUAUGUGCCCUUCGGGGGAAAGAUUUAUCGCCAUUGGAGCGGCCCGCGUUGGAUUAGGUAGUUGGUGAGGUAAAGGCUCACCAAGCCUACGAUCCAUAGCUGGUCUGAGAGGAUGAUCAGCCACACUGGGACUGAGACACGGCCCAGACUCCUACGGGAGGCAGCAGUAGGGAAUCUUGCGCAAUGGGCGAAAGCCUGACGCAGCCAUGCCGCGUGAAUGAUGAAGGUCUUAGGAUUGUAAAAUUCUUUCACCGGGGACGAUAAUGACGGUACCCGGAGAAGAAGCCCCGGCUAACUUCGUG